GGCGCUAUAGCCAAGUGGUUACGGCGACAGAUUAGAAUGGAAACAUUGAUCUGUUCCUCUUUGAGGGCGCAGGUUCAAAUCCUGCUGGCGUCG
Molecule: non-coding RNA, 93 nt
Organism: Lentinula aciculospora
Lineage: Eukaryota; Fungi; Basidiomycota; Agaricomycetes; Agaricales; Omphalotaceae
Source: the annotation of a GenBank genome assembly